GCCGGGAUAGGGUAGGGGCUAUCCUAGGGGACUGUGGAAAAGCCCCUUUAAAAAAGGUGCUUUACCCCUAAAAGGAGCUUUGUGGCAAUCCCUUGACCCGGGUUCAAAUCCCGGUCCCGGCC
RNAcentral lists this transfer RNA (122 nucleotides) under Aciduliprofundum boonei T469. RNAcentral's name for it is "tRNA-His". The record is from RNAcentral. Lineage: Archaea; Methanobacteriati; Thermoplasmatota.